This 496-nucleotide ribosomal RNA is filed under the name uncultured bacterium. RNAcentral describes it as "partial 16S ribosomal RNA". It matches the Rfam family "Bacterial small subunit ribosomal RNA", at positions 29 to 507 of the family's 1533-position model. The record is from RNAcentral.
AUGAACGCUGGCGGCGUGCCUAAUCCAUGCAAGUCGCGCGAACAGACGAGGAGCUUGCUCCUCUGACGUUAGCGGCGGACGGGUGAGUAACACGUGGAUAACCUACCUAUAAGACUGGGAUAACUUCGGGAAACCGGAGCUAAUACCGGAUAAUAUAUUGAACCGCAUGGUUCAAUAGUGAAAGACGGUUUUGCUGUCACUUAUAGAUGGAUCCGCGCCGCAUUAGCUAGUUGGUAAGGUAGCGGCUUACCAAGGCGACGAUGCGUAGCCGACCUGAGAGGGUGAUCGGCCACACUGGAACUGAGACACGGUCCAGACUCCUACGGGAGGCAGCAGUAGGGAAUCUUCCGCAAUGGGCGAAAGCCUGACGGAGCAACGCCGCGUGAGUGAUGAAGGUCUUCGGAUCGUAAAACUCUGUUAUUAGGGAAGAACAAAUGUGUAAGUAACUAUGCACGUCUUGACGGUACCUAAUCAGAAAGCCACGGCUAACUACGUG